This 914-nucleotide long non-coding RNA is filed under the name Nicotiana benthamiana. Its description in RNAcentral is "long non-coding RNA (NBEN_LNC002918)". The record is from RNAcentral. Lineage: Eukaryota; Viridiplantae; Streptophyta; Magnoliopsida; Solanales; Solanaceae.
GUAAAUAAGAGGGGAUUAUAGACAGAAAAAAUAUUUAUUUGUCUUCAUUUUCCGGUGAUUGGGUCAUUCCAAAACAAUGGCGUUCUCUGCAACUUUUCGGUGUUCAUCUUCUCUAUGUCAUCCUCUGAAUAAUUCAACAAUUUCACGAGCUUUGCCUCAGUCGUCUUCUUCACUCUCCUUUCGAUCUUCGCCUUCACUUUUUAACCGCAAAAAGUCUUUGUCUAUUCGAUCUGCUAUACUUGAAGGUAUUCUUUUACAUACUUGAGUUUUGGAUUAAUAGCUUAAUAUAACUUUUUUUGUGAAGUAGGCUGUUUAUUUGAGUUUAGUAAAGUAUAGUCUUAUUUUAAGUUCGGAUAAAGGAGGAGAUUUGUGGUAUGUUGAUGGUUAGAUUAAACUUAUUGAAUGAAUUGUGAGUUCGAGUCUCCCUAGAGCAAGGUGGGAAGUUCUUGGAGGGAAGGAUGCCGGGGUCUAUUUUGAAACAGCCUCUCUAGCCAAGGGUAGGGGUAAGGUCUGCGUACACACUACCCUCCCCAGUCCCCAGACCCCACUAAGUGAGAUUAUACUGUUGUUGUUGUUGUUUUUGUUGUUAUUGAAUGAUAAGAAAUGGCUGGUAAGGAUUGUUGCAUCAAAACCAUCAUAAAUGAGGUGAAGGCUUGUAUCUAUCUAGUUAUCUCUUCUGUGCUUAGUAAGUCAUGGAUGACAAUACUGGCUUUUGUACCUUUUAUCCAUUAAAAGAAGAUUAUGUGGUGCUAUUCAGAGCAGUCUAUGUUUUCUUCUGUUGCUUCUGUAACUUGAACACCAGGGGAAAGGAACAAUCUAAUAAUAACAUCUAAAAUUUGGCAGUAGAGCCUGAAAAGGAGCUAUCUCAUUUGUCAAAUGGUCUUGGAAUAAAGAGCUGCAGCCUCAAUUGACAG